AGAUUGAACGCUGGCGGAAUGCUUUACACAUGCAAGUCGAGCGGCAGCGCGGGGCAACCUGGCGGCGAGCGGCGAACGGGUGAGUAAUGCAUCGGAACGUGUCCAUGUCGUGGGGGGAUAGCCCGGCGAAAGCCGGAUUAAUACCGCAUACGCCCGAGAGGGGAAAGUGGGGGACCGCAAGGCCUCACGCGAUUGGAUCGGCCGAUGUCCGAUUAGCUAGUUGGCGGGGUAAAGGCCACCAAGGCGAUGAUCGGUAGCUGGUCUGAGAGGAUGAUCAGCCACACUGGGACUGAGACACGGCCAGACUCCUACGGAGGCAGCAGUGGGAAUUUUGGACAAUGGGGGCAACCCGUGAUCCAGCCAUUCCGCGUGAGUGAAGAAGGCCUUCGGGUUGUAAAGCUCUUUUGUCCGGAACGAAACGGGUAGACGGUGAAUAUCGCUGCCUACUGACGGUACCGGAAGAAUAAGCACCGACUAACUACGUGCCAGCACGCCG
Molecule: ribosomal RNA, 496 nt
Filed under: uncultured soil bacterium
Lineage: Bacteria
Description: bacterial SSU rRNA
Rfam family: Bacterial small subunit ribosomal RNA
Source: RNAcentral